RNAcentral lists this ribosomal RNA (253 nucleotides) under uncultured bacterium. RNAcentral's name for it is "partial 16S ribosomal RNA". It matches the Rfam family "Bacterial small subunit ribosomal RNA", at positions 524 to 776 of the family's 1533-position model. The record is from RNAcentral.
UACGAAGGGGGCUAGCGUUGUUCGGAAUUACUGGGCGUAAAGCGCGUGUAGGCGGGUCUUUAAGUCAGGGGUGAAAUGCCAAGGCUCAACCUUGGAACUGCCUUUGAUACUGGAGACCUUGAGUCCGGGAGAGGUGAGUGGAAUUGCGAGUGUAGAGGUGAAAUUCGUAGAUAUUCGCAAGAACACCAGUGGCGAAGGCGGCUCACUGGCCCGGAACUGACGCUGAGAUGCGAAAGCGUGGGGAGCAAACAGG